AGCAGCCGCGGUAAUUCCAGCUCCAAUAGCGUAUAUUAAAGUUGUUGCAGUUAAAAGCUCGUAGUUGAAUUUCGGGGUUAGUAGGUUGGUCAUGCCUCCGGUAUGUACUGGUCUCACUGAUUCCUCCUUCCUGACGAACCGUAAUGCCAUUAAUUUGGUGUUGCGGGAAUUUGGACUGUUACUUUGAAAAAUUAGAGUGUUUAAAGCAAGCUAACGCUUGAAUUACAUUAGCAUGGAAUAAUGAAAUAGGACGUUCGAUCCUAUUUGUUGGUUUCUAGGAUUGACGUAAUGAUUAAUAGGGAUAGUUGGGGGCAUUAGGUAUUCAAUUGUCAGAGGUGAAAUUCUUGGAUUUAUUGAAGACUAACUACUGCGGAAGCAUUUGC
Molecule: small RNA, 383 nt
Filed under: uncultured Glomus
Lineage: Eukaryota; Fungi; Glomeromycota; Glomeromycetes; Glomerales; Glomeraceae
Description: SSU rRNA
Rfam family: Eukaryotic small subunit ribosomal RNA
Source: RNAcentral